GUGAUAUUUUAUGUGAUAUUAUUAGUUGAAUUAUACUACUAUACUAUCAAUAGUACCAAGUCCUUGGUACAAUUGAGUUUUCGACAGUUGGAUGAAAGGAUGUGCGGUUAGGAUGAUAGUGGUCCCCAAUUAAAUUGAUAGUGGUCCCUUAGGGUUGAGUGAGUGGUUGGUUUAAUAGUAUAAUCUAACGGAUAGAAAUGAUCAAAAGGUAAAUCUAAUGAUA
RNAcentral lists this long non-coding RNA (223 nucleotides) under Ananas comosus (pineapple). RNAcentral describes it as "long non-coding RNA (ACOM_LNC036654)". Lineage: Eukaryota; Viridiplantae; Streptophyta; Magnoliopsida; Poales; Bromeliaceae. The record is from RNAcentral.